This is a non-coding RNA of Myodes glareolus (Bank vole), 744 nucleotides long. The record is from RefSeq and is a predicted model, not a curated record. Lineage: Eukaryota; Metazoa; Chordata; Mammalia; Rodentia; Cricetidae.
AUGGCAAGCUGAAAGUUUGGCCUGUGUCUUCCAGAAGUUUAUACUUUGGAACUUUAAUUACCAAUAUAACAGUCAUGAAAGAUGGACCUUAUGAGGUGAUUUGGUUACAGAGGUGGGGCCCAAAGGAAUGGACCAACACUAUUGCUGCAGAAGCAAGCCAGCUCUCAGAGUGAAUUGUUCUAGGGUAUUCAAAGAAAUGGCCACUGAGGAGCAGCAGGAAUGGCUCAGUAAUUACCACAAAAGCCUGGUGAGUUUAGAUCCCAAGAAGCCACAGGAAAAUUGGGUGCACACACAUCUGUGAUCAUCGUGUUCCUGGAUGGAAAUCAUCUAAAGGCCUGAUUCCAGAGGAAACGACAUAGCGAACGCCAUCUGGUCAACCUUGCACUUCACAGUGCUCUGGAACGCUAAGGUGGAAGACUGUAAGGAAGAGCUGGGCUGAGGACGUUCAUUAGGCUACUACCCCUCCACAAGCCAUGUGCCUGACUCUGGUUAAUGUCAAGGUAUCUGAGCAGUGCAGUUAGGUAUUUUGCCCCUGCUCUUUAAAACACAUUUAAGGAACUAUGUAGGCCUUCAAAGGCAAUGAAGCAAAGGUCAUCAAAUUGUUCUGACUCAGAUGGCUCUACUACUAAAAACCUCCCCCUUCAGGGCCUCAGUGCGUGAGGUCUGCAGUUUGAAAUAUACAUAUAUACAUACAUACAUACAUACACACAUACACACACACACAUAUAUAUACAUAUACAUACA